GGUUUUAUAGUUUAUUUAAAAAUUUUAAAUUGCAAAUUUAAAGAAAAGAAAUUUUAAGACUU
This 62-nucleotide transfer RNA is filed under the name Alectorobius capensis. RNAcentral describes it as "tRNA-Cys". The record is from RNAcentral. Lineage: Eukaryota; Metazoa; Arthropoda; Arachnida; Ixodida; Argasidae.